Molecule: RNase P RNA, 390 nt
Filed under: Phycisphaerae bacterium
Lineage: Bacteria; Pseudomonadati; Planctomycetota; Phycisphaerae
Description: RNase P RNA component class A
Rfam family: Bacterial RNase P class A
About the family: Ribonuclease P (RNase P) is a ubiquitous endoribonuclease, found in archaea, bacteria and eukarya as well as chloroplasts and mitochondria. Its best characterised activity is the generation of mature 5'-ends of tRNAs by cleaving the 5'-leader elements of precursor-tRNAs.
Source: RNAcentral
UGAGUGGGUCGGGCGGUCGCCGGAUUGAAACACAUCCGGAGGAAAGUCCGAGCAGGAUAGGGCACGGUGGCGGCUAACGGCCGCCCGGGGCGACCCGCGGGAAAGUGCCGCAGAAAAUAUACCGCCGCGGGGGUUUGAAUCCCCCGCGGUAAGGGUGAAAUGGUGCGGUAAGAGCGCACCGCGUCGUCGGUAACGGCGACGGCAGGGCAAACCCCACCGCCUGCAAGACCAAGUAUGCUGCGUGCUCGGCCCGGGCAUCUCGCAGCGGGUAGGUUGCAUGCCGACGGGGAGACCUUUCGGCAGAGCCGGUCGGCGACGGCCGGUCGAGUGUAAUGACCGCCAUCCGCCUUCGGGCGGAGACAGAACUCGGCUUACAGACCCACUCAUUUA